GACGAACGCUGGCGGCGUGCUUAACACAUGCAAGUCGAACGGAAAGGCCCUGCUUUUGUGGGGUUCUCGAGUGGCGAACGGGUGAGUAACACGUGAGUAACCUGCCCUUGACUUUGGGAUAACUUCAGGAAACUGGGGCUAAUACCGGAUAUGAUCUCCUGCUGCAUGGUGGUGGUUGGAAAGUUUCGGCGGUUGGGGAUGGACUCGCGGCUUAUCAGCUUGUUGGUGGGGUAGUGGCUUACCAAGGCUUUGACGGGUAGCCGGCCUGAGAGGGUGACCGGCCACAUUGGGACUGAGAUACGGCCCAGACUCCUACGGGAGGCAGCAGUGGGGAAUAUUGAACAAUGGGCGGAAGCCUGAUGCAGCAACGCCGCGUGCGGGAUGACGGCCUUCGGGUUGUAAACCGCUUUCGCCUGUGACGAAGCGUGAGUGACGGUAAUGGGUAAAGAAGCACCGGCUAACUACGUG
RNAcentral lists this ribosomal RNA (468 nucleotides) under uncultured bacterium. Its description in RNAcentral is "partial 16S ribosomal RNA". It matches the Rfam family "Bacterial small subunit ribosomal RNA", at positions 28 to 507 of the family's 1533-position model. The record is from RNAcentral.